AGGAUUUUGCUACUUGAUAAUGUGUGUGGGGUCUAGAAGUCAAGGAAGACUCUCUAGGUUCAGGAAGAGGAUGGAGUAUUGAUCAAAACAGGAAGGUCAGAAAAGAACCCCUCUGGGAAGAGUUGGUGCUGAAGAUGAGAUGGAGUAAGAGAGGCAUGUUGGGCUGUCAGUUUCACUCAGGACCCAUGGCAGAAUAUUGCUACCAACGGACCAUAACAAAAACAAGAAGAAUUGAAACAUUUUGGAGGCCGGAAACACCACAUUGAUAUUUCUCUCCAGUGUGAAAUAUUUUAACCUGAAAAACUUCUAGAUGCAAUUUUCAGAUAAAAUAGGCCUAUUCUAAUGAAUCCAAGACAAGAAGAAUCUUUCAAGUGUUGCUAACCAGAACUGAGCAGAUCCAAGUAGCAAUCGUAGCCAAGCCAUUAGUCCAUGUAUGGAGAGACCAGAGAGGGCAUCCCCACGUGGUGAUGCCUCAAGCUUCAGGAGCACUCGACCAGAGUCAGUGUAGCCCUUGGCAGCUGGUGAAGCACAACCUGGGACAAAUGGAAGCUUUAGCAAUGAGCCGAUAGGUCAAGGCUAACCAGAAAGAAUGCAGCUGGGUAAUGCAAGCUAUCCUAUCUUGUAAUUAAAAGGGUUUUCUGUGUGGUUACCUGACGUAGUUACUAAAUGGCUUGCAUGAAAUAACAUGCAGCAUUCUGCAGUUACUGUGCAAUUACCUUAUAUCAUCACCCUACAGUCAAAAGACAAAAAGAAAAUUCAGGGUGAAGCUUUUAACCGCAAUUUGUAGCAAAGAUGUUUGGAAUAAAAACACAUUGCUUGUUA
RNAcentral lists this long non-coding RNA (822 nucleotides) under Homo sapiens (human). Its description in RNAcentral is "HSALNT0329402". The record is from RNAcentral. Lineage: Eukaryota; Metazoa; Chordata; Mammalia; Primates; Hominidae.